AGAGUUUGAUCAUGGCUCAGAGCGAACGCUGGCGGCAUGCUUAACACAUGCAAGUCGCACGAGGGGUUUCGGCCUCUAGUGGCGGACGGGUGAGUAACGCGUAGGUAUCUAUCCUGGGGUGGGGGAUAACAGUGGGAAACUGCUGCUAAUACCGCAUGACACCUGAGGGUCAAAGGCGCGAGUCGCCUUAGGAGGAGCCUGCGUCCGAUUAGCUAGUUGGUGGGGUAAAGGCCUACCAAGGCGACGAUCGGUAGCUGGUCUGAGAGGAUGAUCAGCCACAUUGGGACUGAGACACGGCCCAAACUCCUACGGGAGGCAGCAGUGGGGAAUAUUGGACAAUGGGCGAAAGCCUGAUCCAGCAAUGCCGCGUGGAUGAAGAAGGUCUUCGGAUUGUAAAGUCCUUUCGACGGGGACGAUGAUGACGGUACCCGUAGAAGAAGCCCCGGCUAACUUCGUGCCAGCAGCCGCGGUA
This 472-nucleotide ribosomal RNA is filed under the name uncultured Pseudomonadota bacterium. Its description in RNAcentral is "bacterial SSU rRNA". It matches the Rfam family "Bacterial small subunit ribosomal RNA", at positions 8 to 522 of the family's 1533-position model. Lineage: Bacteria; Pseudomonadati; Pseudomonadota. The record is from RNAcentral.